CUAUUAGUGGGGGACAACAUUCCGAAAGGAAUGCUAAUACCGCAUACGUCCUACGGGAGAAAGCAGGGGAUCUUCGGACCUUGCGCUAAUAGAUGAGCCUAAGUCGGAUUAGCUAGUUGGUGGGGUAAAGGCCUACCAAGGCGACGAUCUGUAGCGGGUCUGAGAGGAUGAUCCGCCACACUGGGACUGAGACACGGCCCAGACUCCUACGGGAGGCAGCAGUGGGGAAUAUUGGACAAUGGGGGGAACCCUGAUCCAGCCAUGCCGCGUGUGUGAAGAAGGCCUUAUGGUUGUAAAGCACUUUAAGCGAGGAGGAGGCUACUGAGACUAAUACUCUUGGAUAGUGGACGUUACUCGCAGAAUAAGCACCGGCUAACUCUGUGCCAGCAGCCGCGGUAAUACAGAGGGUGCGAGCGUUAAUCGGAUUUACUGGGCGUAAAGCGUGCGUAGGCGGCUUUUUAAGUCGGAUGUGAAAUCCCCGAGCUUAACUUGGGAAUUGCAUUCGAUACUGGGAAGCUAGAGUAUGGGAGAGGAUGGUAGAAUUCCAGGUGUANCGGUGAAAUGCGUANAGAUCUGGAGGAAUACCGAUGG
This 591-nucleotide ribosomal RNA is filed under the name uncultured bacterium. RNAcentral describes it as "bacterial SSU rRNA". It matches the Rfam family "Bacterial small subunit ribosomal RNA", at positions 130 to 715 of the family's 1533-position model. The record is from RNAcentral.